AGUGAACGCUGGCGGCAGGCCUAACACAUGCAAGUCGAACGGCAGCACAAGAGAGCUUGCUCUCUGGGUGGCGAGUGGCGGACGGGUGAGGAAUGCAUCGGAAUCUGCCCAUUUGUGGGGGAUAACCUCGGGAAACCGGGACUAAUACCGCAUACGACCUACGGGUGAAAGCAGGGGAUCUUCGGACCUUGCGCAGAUGGAUGAGCCGAUGCCGGAUUAGCUAGUUGGAGGGGUAAAGGCCCACCAAGGCGACGAUCCGUAGCUGGUCUGAGAGGAUGAUCAGCCACACUGGGACUGAGACACGGCCCAGACUCCUACGGGAGGCAGCAGUGGGGAAUAUUGGACAAUGGGCGCAAGCCUGAUCCAGCCAUGCCGCGUGUGUGAAGAAGGCCUUCGGGUUGUAAAGCACUUUUGUUGUGAAAGAAAAGCAGCCGGUUAAUACCCGGUUGUCAUGACGGUACCCAAAGAAUAAGCACCGGCUAACUUCGUG
This 490-nucleotide ribosomal RNA is filed under the name uncultured bacterium. Its description in RNAcentral is "partial 16S ribosomal RNA". It matches the Rfam family "Bacterial small subunit ribosomal RNA", at positions 29 to 507 of the family's 1533-position model. The record is from RNAcentral.